UACGUAGGGUGCAAGCGUUGUCCGGAAUUAUUGGGCGUAAAGCGCGCGUAGGCGGCCACACACGUCGGUUGUGAAAGCUCGGAGCUCAACUCUGAGAGGCCUUCCGAUACGGUGUGGCUAGAGGUAGGUAGGGGAGAGCGGAAUUCCUGGUGUAGCGGUGAAAUGCGCAGAUAUCAGGAGGAACACCGAUGGCGAAGGCAGGUCUCUGGGCCGAUACUGACGCUGAGGAGCGAAAGCGUGGGGAGCGAACAGG
RNAcentral lists this ribosomal RNA (253 nucleotides) under uncultured bacterium. RNAcentral describes it as "partial 16S ribosomal RNA". It matches the Rfam family "Bacterial small subunit ribosomal RNA", at positions 524 to 776 of the family's 1533-position model. The record is from RNAcentral.